GACCCAGUCUGGUGAUAUUGAAUGUGGCACCAUCCACAAUUGCCAUCAGUUAUAGAAAAUUGCCAGGAUAUGCUGAAAACAGAGAACUUUCACAUUCAAUAAACUUCAACUAAAUACCAGCCAUGUGCACACCAACCUCAACCCACCUGGUUCCUGCUCUACUCUGCAGUUAAGCACCAGCAAUGUGUCAGACAGAAUGCUGGUCUGUCUUGCACUAAGACUCCACCAAAGCCUCAAGUUAGUGAGACACAGAUAAGGGG
RNAcentral lists this long non-coding RNA (260 nucleotides) under Homo sapiens (human). Its description in RNAcentral is "HSALNT0093337". The record is from RNAcentral. Lineage: Eukaryota; Metazoa; Chordata; Mammalia; Primates; Hominidae.